GAUGAAGAACGUAGCGAAAUGCGAUAAGUAAUGCGAAUUGCAGAAUUCAGUGAAUCAUCGAAUCUUUGAACGCACAUUGCGCCCGCUAGUAUUCUGGCGGGCAUGCCUGUCUGAGCGUCAUUUCAACCCUCGCCCCCGGCUUUUGCUGGGAGCGGUGUUGGGGAUCGGCCGCCCGUCACUGGGAGGCCGGCCCCGAAAUAGAGUGGCGACCACGCCGUGUGCUCCUCUGCGUAGUAGAAAAUCACCUCGCAGGCGGACAGCGGUGCGGCCUGCCGUAAAACCCCCAACUCUUUCUGGUUGACCUCAGAUCAGGUAGGAAUACCCGCUGAACUUAAGCAUAUCAAUAAGCGGAGGA
This 355-nucleotide unclassified non-coding RNA is filed under the name soil metagenome. Its description in RNAcentral is "partial contains 5.8S ribosomal RNA, internal transcribed spacer 2, and large subunit ribosomal RNA". The stretch from base 1 to 120 matches the Rfam family "5.8S ribosomal RNA", at positions 35 to 154 of the family's 154-position model. The record is from RNAcentral.